GACGAACGCUGGCGGCGUGCUUAACACAUGCAAGUCGAGCGGUAAGGCCCUUUCGGGGGUACACGAGCGGCGAACGGGUGAGUAACACGUGGGUGACCUGCCCUCAGCUCUGGGAUAAGCCUGGGAAACUGGGUCUAAUACUGGAUAUGACUCCACGGUGCAUGUCGUGGGGUGGAAAGCCUUGUGCGGCUGAGGAUGGGCCCGCGGCCUAUCAGCUUGUUGGUGGGGNGAUGGCCUACCAAGGCGACGACGGGUAGCCGGCCUGAGAGGGCGACCGGCCACACUGGGACUGAGACACGGCCCAGACUCCUACGGGAGGCAGCAGUGGGGAAUUGUUCGCAAUGGGCGCAAGCCUGACGACGCAACGCCGCGUGGAGGACGAAGAUCUUCGGGUCGUAAACUCCUGUCGAGCGGGACGAA
RNAcentral lists this ribosomal RNA (420 nucleotides) under uncultured bacterium. RNAcentral's name for it is "bacterial SSU rRNA". It matches the Rfam family "Bacterial small subunit ribosomal RNA", at positions 28 to 449 of the family's 1533-position model. The record is from RNAcentral.